UAGGGAAUCUUCCGCAAUGGACGCAAGUCUGACGGAGCAACGCCGCGUGAGUGAAGAAGGAUUUCGGUUCGUAAAACUCUGUUGUUAGAGAAGAACAGCGCAUAGAGUAACUGUUAUGCGUGUGACGGUAGCUAACCAGAAAGCCACGGCUAACUACGUGCCAGCAGCCGCGGUAAUACGUAGGUGGCAAGCGUUGUCCGGAAUUAUUGGGCGUAAAGCGAGCGCAGGCGGUCAAUUAAGUCUGAUGUGAAAGCCCCCGGCUCAACCGGGGAGGGUCAUUGUAAACUGGUUGACUUGAGUGCAGAAGAGGAGAGUACAAUUCCAUGUGUAGCGGUGAAAUGCGUCCAUAUAUGGAGGAACACCUGUUGCGAAGGCGACUCUCUCUUCUUUAACUGACGCUGAGUCUCGAAAGCGUGUGUAGCACACCGG
RNAcentral lists this ribosomal RNA (429 nucleotides) under Bacteroidota bacterium. RNAcentral's name for it is "Bacteroidetes bacterium partial 16S ribosomal RNA". It matches the Rfam family "Bacterial small subunit ribosomal RNA", at positions 355 to 776 of the family's 1533-position model. The record is from RNAcentral. Lineage: Bacteria; Pseudomonadati; Bacteroidota.